RNAcentral lists this transfer RNA (74 nucleotides) under Candidatus Omnitrophota bacterium. Its description in RNAcentral is "tRNA-Gly". It matches the Rfam family "tRNA". Rfam says of the family: Transfer RNA (tRNA) molecules are approximately 80 nucleotides in length. Lineage: Bacteria; Pseudomonadati; Candidatus Omnitrophota. The record is from RNAcentral.
GCGAGAGUAAUUCAGUGGUAGAAUUCCAGCUUCCCAAGCUGGCUACGCGGGUUCGAUCCCCGUCUCUCGCUCCA